CGUGUUUCCUGUGUGUAUGUACCCAAAGUUGUUGGUUUGUUUGUAAGAUUCAGGUGUGUGAUUACCUUAGUAUAUAUACAUAGUGUAAUCUGCUAGAAUGGUGGAGUCUAGUGGGUUAGUGUAGUGGAAUACCUGUGUGUAUUCAAUUAAGGUAGUGUGUUUCCGGUCAUUUUUCAAACUAAAAAAUUUCUUCGUUUUUUUACGCUCUCUUCAAGCUCCGCCACAGCUAUUAACCUUGUCUAUCUGAGCUCUAACCAUCUUGCUAAACAAUGAAUCCAACUGAUUUAUUUCCAUGUAGAUAUUUUACAUGUAUAAUUUUACUCAGACCUUCUGUGAACUACUGAAUCUAACCAAAUAAACGGAGAACGUGUCCAUUUGACACAAAUAAUG
Molecule: long non-coding RNA, 390 nt
Filed under: Mytilus galloprovincialis (Mediterranean mussel)
Lineage: Eukaryota; Metazoa; Mollusca; Bivalvia; Mytilida; Mytilidae
Source: RNAcentral